This 253-nucleotide ribosomal RNA is filed under the name uncultured bacterium. RNAcentral's name for it is "partial 16S ribosomal RNA". It matches the Rfam family "Bacterial small subunit ribosomal RNA", at positions 524 to 776 of the family's 1533-position model. The record is from RNAcentral.
UACGUAGGGUGCGAGCGUUAAUCGGAAUUACUGGGCGUAAAGCGCGCGCAGGCGGUCCUUUAAGUCUGAUGUGAAAGCCCACGGCUCAACCGUGGAAGGUCAUUGGAAACUGGGGGACUUGAGUGCAGAAGAGGAAAGUGGAAUUCCAAGUGUAGCGGUGGAAUGCGCAGAUAUCAGGAGGAACACCGAUGGCGAAGGCAGAUCUCUGGGCCGUAACUGACGCUGAGGAGCGAAAGCAUGGGGAGCGAACAGG